UCUAGCCAUGGGCAGGUUGAAGGUUGGGUAACACUAACUGGAGGACCGAACCGACUACUGUUGAAAAAGUAGCGGAUGACUUGUGGCUGGGGGUGAAAGGCCAAUCAAACCGGGAGAUAGCUGGUUCUCCCCGAAAUCUAUUUAGGUAGAGCCUUGAAUGAAUACCUUUGGGGGUAGAGCACUGUUUCGGCUAGGGGGCCAUCCCGGCUUACCAACCCGAUGCAAACUCCGAAUACCAAAGAGUAAUGUUCAGGAGACACACGGCGGGUGCUAACGUCCGUCGUGGAGAGGGAAACAACCCAGACCGCCAGCUAAGGCCCCAAAUUCCUAGUUAAGUGGGAAACGAGGUGGGAAGGCAUAGACAGCUAGGAGGUUGGCUUAGAAGCAGCCAUCCUUUAAAGAAAGCGUAAUAGCUCACUAGUCGAGUCGGCCCGCGCGGAAGAUGUAACGGGGCUCAAACUAGGAGCCGAAGCUGCGGAUUUGAAUUUGUUUUCAAGUGGUAGGGGAGCGUUGUGUAAGCCUGUGAAGGUGUGUCGUAAGGCAUGCUGGAGGUAUCACAAGAGCGAAUGCUGACGUGAGUAACGAUAAUGCGAGUGAAAAGCUCGCACGCCGGAAGAUCAAGGGUUCCAGUCCAACGUUAAUCGGGGCUGGGUGAGUCGACCCCUAAGGCGAGGCCGAAAGGCGUAGUCGAUGGGAAAUCGGUUAAUAUUCCGAUACUUGUUUAUAAUGCGAUGGAGGGACGGAGAAGGUUAUGCCAGCCUGGCGAUGGUUGUCCAGGUGGAAGGAUGUAGGUUUACAGUUUAGGCAAAUCCGGACUGUUUUAUACCGAGAUCUGAUAGCAAGCGGUACUUGUACCGUGAAGUGGCAAAUACCAUGCUUCCAGGAAAAGCUUCUAAGCAAUAGUUAUAAACGAAUCGUACCCUAAACCGACACAGGUGAUCAGGUAGAGAAUACCAAGGCGCUUGAGAGAACUCUGCUGAAGGAACUAGGCAAAAUGGUACCGUAACUUCGGGAGAAGGUACGCUGAUGGUGGUGAAGCCCUUGCGGUGUAAGCUACUGUCAGUCGCAGAUACCAGGCUGCUGCAACUGUUUAUUAAAAACACAGCACUCUGCAAACACGAAAGUGGACGUAUAGGGUGUGAUGCCUGCCCGGUGCUGGAAGGUUAAUUGAUGGGGUUAGCGUAAGCGAAGCUCUUGAUCGAAGCCCCAGUAAACGGCGGCCGUAACUAUAACGGUCCUAAGGUAGCGAAAUUCCUUGUCGGGUAAGUUCCGACCUGCACGAAUGGCGCGCUGUCUCCAGCAGAGACUCAGUGAAAUCGAAAUCGCAGUGAAGAUGCUGUGUACCCGCGGCUAGACGGAAAGACCCCGUGAACCUUUACUACAGCUUUACAUUGAACUUUGACCUGACUUGUGCAGGAUAGGUGGGAGGCUUUGAAGCAGACACGCUAGUGUUUGUGGAGCCAAUCUUGAAAUACCACCCUGGUCAUGUCGGGGUUCUAACUCAGGUAUAACAAUACCGAGGACAAUGUAUGGUGGGUAGUUUGACUGGGGCGGUCUCCUCCUAAAGAGUAACGGAGGAGUACGAAGGUGCGCUCAGAACGGUCGGAAAUCGUUCAUAGAGUAUAAAGGCAAAAGCGCGCUUAACUGCGAGACCCACAAGUCGAGCAGGUACGAAAGUAGGUCUUAGUGAUCCGGUGGUUCUGUAUGGAAGGGCCAUCGCUCAACGGAUAAAAGGUACUCUGGGGAUAACAGGCUGAUACCGCCCAAGAGUUCAUAUCGACGGCGGUGUUUGGCACCUCGAUGUCGGCUCAU
Molecule: ribosomal RNA, 1812 nt
Filed under: feces metagenome
Description: bacterial LSU rRNA
Rfam family: Bacterial large subunit ribosomal RNA
Source: RNAcentral